This 772-nucleotide ribosomal RNA is filed under the name Periconia byssoides. RNAcentral's name for it is "partial large subunit ribosomal RNA". It matches the Rfam family "Eukaryotic large subunit ribosomal RNA", at positions 111 to 901 of the family's 3401-position model. The record is from RNAcentral. Lineage: Eukaryota; Fungi; Ascomycota; Dothideomycetes; Pleosporales; Periconiaceae.
AAAUUUGAAAUCUGGCUCUUUCAGGGUCCGAGUUGUAAUUUGCAGAGGGUGCUUUGGUGUUGGCGGCGGUCUAAGUUCCUUGGAACAGGACAUCGCAGAGGGUGAGAAUCCCGUAUGUGGUCGCCUGCCUUCGCCGUGUAAAGCCCCUUCGACGAGUCGAGUUGUUUGGGAAUGCAGCUCUAAAUGGGAGGUAAAUUUCUUCUAAAGCUAAAUACCGGCCAGAGACCGAUAGCGCACAAGUAGAGUGAUCGAAAGAUGAAAAGCACUUUGGAAAGAGAGUCAAACAGCACGUGAAAUUGUUAAAAGGGAAGCGCUUGCAGCCAGACUUGCCUGUAGUUGCUCGCCUGGGCUUUUGCCCGGGUUACUCUUCUGCAGGCAGGCCAGCAUCAGUUUGGGCGGUCGGAUAAAGGUCCCUGACACGUAUCUCCCUUCGGGGUUAACAUAUAGGGGGGACGUAAUGCGACCAGCCUGGACUGAGGUCCGCGCAUCUGCUAGGAUGCUGGCGUAAUGGCUGUAAGCGGCCCGUCUUGAAACACGGACCAAGGAGUCUAACAUCUAUGCGAGUGUUUGGGUGUCAAGCCCGAGCGCGUAAUGAAAGUGAACGGAGGUGGGAACCCCUCGGGGCGCACCAUCGACCGAUCCUGAUGUCUUCGGAUGGAUUUGAGUAAGAGCAUAGCUGUUGGGACCCGAAAGAUGGUGAACUAUGCUUGAAUAGGGUGAAGCCAGAGGAAACUCUGGUGGAGGCUCGCAGCGGUUCUGACGUGCAAAUCGA